This 253-nucleotide ribosomal RNA is filed under the name uncultured bacterium. Its description in RNAcentral is "partial 16S ribosomal RNA". It matches the Rfam family "Bacterial small subunit ribosomal RNA", at positions 524 to 776 of the family's 1533-position model. The record is from RNAcentral.
GACAGAGGGUGCAAACGUUGCUCGGAAUUACUGGGCGUAAAGGGUGCGUAGGCGGCCUAUUAAGUCAGUGCUGAAAUAUCCCGGCUUAACCGGGAGGGUGGCAUUGAUACUGAUGGGCUUGAGUAAAGUUGAGGUAGGCGGAAUUGACGGUGUAGCGGUGAAAUGCUUAGAUAUCGUCAAGAACACCUAUUGCGAAGGCAGCUUACUAAGCUUUAACUGACGCUGAUGCACGAAAGUGUGGGGAUCAAACAGG